UACGUAGGUGGCGAGCGUUGUCCGGAUUUACUGGGCGUAAAGGGAGCGUAGGCGGACUCUUAAGUGAGAUGUGAAAUACCCGGGCUCAACUUGGGUGCUGCAUUUCAAACUGGAAGUCUAGAGUGCAGGAGAGGAGAAUGGAAUUCCUAGUGUAGCGGUGAAAUGCGUAGAGAUUAGGAAGAACACCAGUGGCGAAGGCGAUUCUCUGGACUGUAACUGACGCUGAGGCUCGAAAGCGUGGGGAGGCAAACAGGAUUAGAUA
This 262-nucleotide ribosomal RNA is filed under the name uncultured prokaryote. RNAcentral's name for it is "partial 16S ribosomal RNA". It matches the Rfam family "Bacterial small subunit ribosomal RNA", at positions 524 to 784 of the family's 1533-position model. The record is from RNAcentral.